Molecule: ribosomal RNA, 498 nt
Filed under: uncultured bacterium
Lineage: Bacteria
Description: partial 16S ribosomal RNA
Rfam family: Bacterial small subunit ribosomal RNA
Source: RNAcentral
GAUGAACGCUAGCGGCAGGCCUAAUACAUGCAAGUCGAGGGAGAAUGUUGGAUUCGUCUGACAUGAAACCGGCGCACGGGUGCGUAACACGUAUGCAACCUACCUUUAACUGGGGUAUAGCUCAGAGAAGACUGAAUUAAUCCCCCAUAAGACUACGACAUGGCAUCAUGAUGUAGUUAAAGCUCCGGCGGUUAAGGAUGGGCAUGCGGUACAUUAGCUAGUUGGUGAGGUAAUGGCUCACCAAGGCUACGAUGUAUAGGGGGUCUGAGAGGAUGAUCCCCCACACUGGUACUGAGACACGGACCAGACUCCUACGGGAGGCAGCAGUAGGGAAUAUUGGUCAAUGGACGCAAGUCUGAACCAGCCAUGCCGCGUGAAGGAUGAAGGCCCUAUGGGUCGUAAACUUCUUUUAUUAGGGAAGAAAAAACGGGAUGCGUCCUGUACUGACGGUACUUAAUGAAUAAGGAUCGGCUAACUUCGUGCCAGCCGCCGCGGUAA